Molecule: ribosomal RNA, 253 nt
Filed under: uncultured bacterium
Lineage: Bacteria
Description: partial 16S ribosomal RNA
Rfam family: Bacterial small subunit ribosomal RNA
Source: RNAcentral
UACAGAGGUCUCAAGCGUUGUUCGGAUUCAUUGGGCGUAAAGGGUGCGUAGGCGGCGCGGUAAGUCGGGUGUGAAAUUUCGAGGCUUAACUUCGAAACUGCAUUCGAUACUGCCGUGCUUGAGGACUGGAGAGGAGACUGGAAUUUACGGCGUAGCGGUGAAAUGCGUAGAUAUCGUAAGGAAGACCAGUGGCGAAGGCGGGUCUCUGGACAGUUCCUGACGCUGAGGCACGAAGGUCAGGGGAGCAAACAGG